AGCAGCCGCGGUAAUUCCAGCUCCAAUAGCGUAUAUUAAAGUUGUUGCAGUUAAAAAGCUCGUAGUUGAAUUUCGGGGUUCUACCGUUGGUCAGGCAAUAGUCUGUACUGGCGCGUGGAAUUUCUACCUUCUGGGGAACCAUCAUGUUAUUUAUUUAGCGUGGUGGGAAACCAGGACCUUUACCUUGAAAAAAUUAGAGUGUUCAAAGCAGGCUUACAUCUGAAUACAUUAGCAUGGAAUAAUAAAAUAG
This 250-nucleotide ribosomal RNA is filed under the name uncultured Gigasporaceae. RNAcentral's name for it is "partial 18S ribosomal RNA". It matches the Rfam family "Eukaryotic small subunit ribosomal RNA", at positions 569 to 825 of the family's 1831-position model. Lineage: Eukaryota; Fungi; Glomeromycota; Glomeromycetes; Diversisporales; Gigasporaceae. The record is from RNAcentral.